This 504-nucleotide ribosomal RNA is filed under the name Triticum aestivum (bread wheat). RNAcentral describes it as "partial small subunit ribosomal RNA". Lineage: Eukaryota; Viridiplantae; Streptophyta; Magnoliopsida; Poales; Poaceae. The record is from RNAcentral.
AUGCAUUGGUGGGCUUGGUGGAAACUGUUCUUUCCAAAGAAGGAAGGAGGAAUGGGCUUCCGUGGCCUCCAUUCUUUUAAUCAGGCGAUAUUGGCAAAGCAAUGUUGGAGGCUACUUGAUGAUACAAAAUCUUUAUGUCCUAGGAUCCUCCGAGCAAAGUACUACCCUUUAGGUGACCUUCUCUCAGCUACCAAAAAAGGUUCUUCCUUUACAUGGCAGAGUAUCUUCGCAUGCAUUCAAACAUUUAAACGUGGCCAUAUAUGGAGGAUUGGAAAUGGUGAAAAGCUAAAUGUUUGGAAUGAUCACUGGAUACCCACUAGUCCGUCGAGGAAAGUUAUUACACCAAGGAAUGGAGUACUGAUCACCAAAGUAAGCGAGUUAAUUGACCCUACGACUGAAACAUGGGAUGAAGAGCUUAUAUGGGAUAUAUUUAACCCAGUUGAUGUUAACCGCAUCCUGCAAGUUCCUUUGAUCUACAACUCUUUUGAGGAUUUUGUCACCUAG